CCUACGGGAGGCAGCAGUGAGGAAUAUUGGUCAAUGGACGAGAGUCUGAACCAGCCAAGUAGCGUGAAGGAUGACUGCCCUAUGGGUUGUAAACUUCUUUUAUAUGGGAAUAAAACGUUCCACGUGUGGGAUUUUGUAUGUACCAUAUGAAUACGGAUCGGCUAACUCCGUGCCAGCAGCCGCGGUAAUACGGAGGCUCCGAGCGUUAUCCGGAUUUAUGGGGGUUAAAGGGUGGGCAGGCGGAGGUGCAAGUCAGCGGUCAAAUUGCGGGGCUCAACCCCGUACUGCAGUUGAAACUGCAUCCCUUGAGUGCGCGAGAGGUAUGCGGAAUGCGUGGUGUAGCGGUGAAAUGCAUAGAGAUCACGAAGAACUCCGAUUGCGAAGGC
This 386-nucleotide ribosomal RNA is filed under the name uncultured bacterium. RNAcentral's name for it is "partial 16S ribosomal RNA". It matches the Rfam family "Bacterial small subunit ribosomal RNA", at positions 338 to 722 of the family's 1533-position model. The record is from RNAcentral.